GGCCGAAAAUAUUUUUCCUCAUCUCACUUUUGUACUUUUCCCAAUUACUUUCAAUCUGUGGUCUCUCGGUCUCAAUCCUUUCUCAAUUGGGAACACUUUCUCCCUAUUUAUUCUGUUCAGGCCCCUCCUGAUUUGAAUUCCUCGAACAAAUCUCCUUUCAGCCUUCUCCAAAGAAGACAGUCCCAAAUUCUCCAGUAGAUCUUCAUAACUGAUGUUCCUCAUCCCUGGAAUGACCUUUGGGAAUAUAAUUUGUCAUCACUACAAAACAUUCACAUGCUUCCUGAAUUAGUCACAUUAUCUAUGUCCCUCAUGGUUUUAUAAAUGUCUCAGCCUCCGAUGCUGCAGGGAAAAU
Chiloscyllium plagiosum (whitespotted bambooshark) is the source of this 352-nucleotide non-coding RNA. The record is from RefSeq and is a predicted model, not a curated record. NCBI's taxonomy places the organism in Eukaryota, Metazoa, Chordata, Chondrichthyes, Orectolobiformes, Hemiscylliidae.